UUCCGGUUGAUCCUGCCGGAGGUCACUGCUAUUGGGAUUCGGCUAAGCCAUGCAAGCGGAGGGCGCGGUCGAAAGAUCGUGGCCCCGCACACUGCUCAGUAACACGUAGUCAAUCUACCCUUGGGACGGGGACAACCUCGGGAAACUGAGGCUAAUCCCCGAUAGGUGAGGGACGCUGGAAUGCCUCCUCGCCCAAAGCUCCGGCGCCCAAGGAUGGGACUGCGGUCUAUCAGGCUGUUGGCGGUGUAACGGACCACCAAACCUACGACGGGUACGGGCGAUGGGAGUCGGAGCCCGGAGAUGGGGACUGAGACAAGGCCCCAGGCCCUACGGGGCGCAGCAGGCGCGAAAACUCCGCAAUGCGCGCAAGCGUGACGGGGGAAUCCCAAGUGCCGUUGGUCUUAUGAUCGACGGUUUUUAGGAAGUCUAAGAAGCUUCCAGAAUAAGGGCUGGGCAAGACUGGUGCCAGCCGCCGCGGUAACACCAGCAGCCCAAGUGGUGACCACGAUUAUUGGGCCUAAAGCGCUCGUAGCCGGAUCAGCAAGUCCCUUGUGAAAUCGGGCCGCCUAACGGUUCGGCGUGCAAGGGAUACUGUUGGUCUUGAGGCCGGGAGAGGUCGGAGGUACUCCUGGGGUAGCGGUGAAAUGCUCUAAUCCUAGGGGGACCACCAGUGGCGAAGGCGUCCGACCAGAACGGACCUGACGGUGAGGGGCGAAGGCUAGGGGAGCGAACGGGAUUAGAUACCCCGGUAGUCCUAGCUGUAAAGCAUGCGGGCCAGGUGUCUAGCGCUCCUUGAGGGCGCUAGGUGCCGGAGGGAAGCCGUUAAGCCCGCCGCCUGGGAAGUACGGCCGCAAGGCUGAAACUUAAAGAAAUUGGCGGGGGAGCACCACAAGAGGUGGGACCUGCGGUUCAAUUGGAAUCAACGCCGGU
RNAcentral lists this ribosomal RNA (930 nucleotides) under uncultured archaeon. Its description in RNAcentral is "bacterial SSU rRNA". It matches the Rfam family "Archaeal small subunit ribosomal RNA", at positions 1 to 922 of the family's 1478-position model. The record is from RNAcentral.